This 301-nucleotide ribosomal RNA is filed under the name uncultured bacterium. Its description in RNAcentral is "partial 16S ribosomal RNA". It matches the Rfam family "Bacterial small subunit ribosomal RNA", at positions 509 to 807 of the family's 1533-position model. The record is from RNAcentral.
CAGUAGCCGCGGUAAUACGGAGGGUGCGAGCGUUAAUCGGAAUAACUGGGCGUAAAGGGCACGCAGGCGGUUAUUUAAGUGAGGUGUGAAAGCCCCGGGCUUAACCUGGGAAUUGCAUUUCAGACUGGGUAACUAGAGUACUUUAGGGAGGGGUAGAAUUCCACGUGUAGCGGUGAAAUGCGUAGAGAUGUGGAGGAAUACCGAAGGCGAAGGCAGCCCCUUGGGAAUGUACUGACGCUCAUGUGCGAAAGCGUGGGGAGCAAACAAGAUUAGAUACCCCAGUAGUCCCUGUCUCUUAUAC